AAUAGAUACCCUGGUAGUCCACGCCCUAAACGAUGUCAACUAGCUGUUGGGGCCUUCGGGCCUUGGUAGCGCAGCUAACGCGUGAAGUUGACCGCCUGGGGAGUACGGUCGCAAGAUUAAAACUCAAAGGAAUUGACGGGGACCCGCACAAGCGGUGGAUGAUGUGGAUUAAUUCGAUGCAACGCGAAAAACCUUACCUACCCUUGACAUGUCUGGAAUGCCGAAGAGAUUUGGCAGUGCUCGCAAGAGAACCGGAACACAGGUGCUGCAUGGCUGUCGUCAGCUCGUGUCGUGAGAUGUUGGGUUAAGUCCCGCAACGAGCGCAACCCUUGUCAUUAGUUGCUACGAAAGGGCACUCUAAUGAGACUGCCGGUGACAAACCGGAGGAAGGUGGGGAUGACGUCAAGUCCUCAUGGCCCUUAUGGGUAGGGCUUCACACGUCAUACAAUGGUCGGGACAGAGGGUCGCCAACCCGGCGAGGGGGAGCCAAUCCCAGAAACCCGAUCGUAGUCCGGAUCGCAGUCUGCAA
This 529-nucleotide ribosomal RNA is filed under the name uncultured bacterium. RNAcentral describes it as "bacterial SSU rRNA". It matches the Rfam family "Bacterial small subunit ribosomal RNA", at positions 777 to 1310 of the family's 1533-position model. The record is from RNAcentral.